Molecule: long non-coding RNA, 21034 nt
Filed under: Olea europaea (common olive)
Lineage: Eukaryota; Viridiplantae; Streptophyta; Magnoliopsida; Lamiales; Oleaceae
Description: long non-coding RNA (OEUR_LNC005068)
Source: RNAcentral
GAACAAUGAGAAAACUCUCAUCAAUAUAUUGAAGCAAUCAUUGACCUUCCCAAGAGUGGGAAUCAGUAGUAGCAAAGAAUAUGAAUAAUUGGUGAAAGUCCAGGAUUUAAUAAACAGGCUUCUGGUGAAGAACCCCAAGAAAAGAAUUGGAAUCCAAAAGGGCUCUGUUGAGAUAAAGAGGCAUGAAUUCUUCAAGGGAGUGAAUUGGGCUUUGAUCAGGACCGUUAAACCUCCUGAGGUCCCUUAUAAUCAUCGAAAAGUUAGGUGCAAACCAAACAUACAAAAGUUAAGCAAGAAAGAAAGGAAUGAAGCGUAUGAAAUCCCAAGUCACUUCGACUACUUUUAAUUGUAACUACUAAAAGUUAACUCAUAGUGCACUUUAGCUGAAGGUCUGGCUGAACCCCUCUUAAGUCUGUUAUUUAUUAUUAUUAUUAUUAUUAUUAUUAUUAUUAUUAUUAUUAUUAUUUUGGUUAUCAAGAAAAUUGAGAUCUGCUAUCCAAAAUUGAUUGUCCAACGUAGAGUGCUUAAAAAAAAUGAGAUUUCGGUUUGCAAAAAUCCUUCAUUGCUAAUUUAUUUGAGCAAGCAUUUCAGUGAUUAGUAUCACUUGAGAUAAGACAACUGACUCAACUUAUAUUUAGAAUAAGAGAAUCUUGUUAAAUAUAUAUGGUUGAAGGAUUUAAACUCCAGUAUCAGUAUUUGUUGUCUGUUAUAUUAGUAAAGUACAUCUAUGAUUUGAUCACAAAAUAUAAAAGGCAUUAAAAGAAGAAGCUUGACGAGUAAAAAUAAUUAAAAGAGCAAAAAACUGUCAUUUUAGCCCAUUUCUACUUUUUAAAUGGAUAAUUAUAUUCACAGCUUAACAUAACUUGUACAAGAACAAGUUUUUGCUCUUAAGUCUACCACAUUUUGAAUUCCAGCUUUCCAUUUUUCUCCAGAGUCUUCAUAAUUCUUCAUCCAACUUCAUUGUUCCAUUGUUCACAACAUCCGCUUUAACUACGAUCAUUGUCAUCAAAAACACCCUAAUUUGUUUGAUAAUACAUUUACAAUCGAAAGUGAACAGUGUCAAUUAAGGUCAACAUGCUGAGUCUAGGUACCAGAAAAAUUCAGACAAGUGGUAGGCAAAAUUAUGCAAGCGGAAGUGUAAAGAAGAAUAACACAGGAUCACUAAAAGAAAUUUGCUAGAUAAAUAGGGCUGACAGGCCCCGGUCCCGCCAUGGGUGGGGUUCGGUCAGGGGGCCCGUCAGGCCCUCUGUUUUUCUAGCAAGUCUCUUACUAAAAUGUUAUUUUCGUACAAAUAAGCAAUUGAAAAGAUAUUUAAAGAACAAUCUUCAAGGAUUUAAUUAAGCAAUUGAAAAGAUAUUUAAAGAACAAUCUUCAAGGAUUUAAUUAUAUUACUCAAACAACCGUAACCACACACCCAUGUCCUAUGUUAUACAAACAAAAAUAAAAAUAAACUCAAAAACUGAGAAUAUCCAAGCUCAACAAUGAUAGCUCAGCAUCUCAUUUCAACUAUGUGUCAACUGCAGAUUGGCUUUCAAUCUGCAAACAAAAAGCAACAACAAAAUAUGGAUAAUCUCUUAAAUCCACUCUUCAAUUUCAUUUUCUUAGAAAUGGAAAUCUGUUGGGAUUAUUGGCCCCAGAUUUGAUUUUACCUCAAUGAUCUUUUAUUUUCAGCCACUCAAUCAAACCAAAAACAUCUAUCAUUCUGCAAAAAUCACAGCAUCUCAAACAGUAAAUAAAAUGCAGAAAAUGUAAAGAAUAAGAACACCAAAAAAUGGUCACCUAGUUCACCCAAAUAAGGGCUAAUCUGGGGGGCUCGGGAUCAGCCCAAUCCACUAUGUAAAACCAGCCUUCCAAAGAGAUCAAUGUACAAAGGAACCAAUCUGACUUUCUCUUAAGGUUCUAAUCAUAGAUCACACAAAGAUCUCAAGAACCAGAUAUAAGAAUCAACCCUAAACUUGACAAGAACUAACACAGCUAAACUAGUGCACCACGCUAAAAAAUAACAGAUUGAAACCUUUAUUUCAAGUCUACAACACAAUGGUUAUACAAUUCUUUAACCUCUCCAAUAAUCACAGUGAAACAUAAUGGAAAUUGGAAGAAUUUCACACAGAGAGAGAGAGAGAGAGAGAGAGAGAGAGCCACCUUUUAAAAAUCUCCGGAAAGAAUGAGAACUCUCUUGCCACUAAAAAUAGGUAGCACAAGAGUCAUAAAAACCAUAUGUAAUCAAGAUUAAAUCCUAGCCACACAUUAUGAUCCAAAGCCUCACAAUGGAGUUGAAGAAGCACAAUCCUCAUUUUAGUAAAACAACUAAUUGGUGGUUGCCAUGUGGCCCUCCGAACCAAUUAAAAAAGACAAAGUAGCACUUCUUUUAAAUAACUCCAAAGUUUCCAAUUUAAUGAAACACGCCUUUUACACUUUCAAUCUUCACCUUGUUUCACUAAAUACACCGACUCUCUUAGUUGCAUGGUUUACAUAGUAAGACUGAUCAUCAUCAUUGCCCGGUACCUACAAAAGAAUUAUCCAUUAUCAAUAAACGGAAUUGAUAAACCAAAAUUUAAACAUACUAGUUGAAAGCAUUUUAAGUCUCAUAUCAAAUGGACAUACAUCAACUUGAGUUUUCUCAAGAUUUAACUUCAUCUGAAGCUAUCUUAUCCUUUUAGAAGAUGAUACUUCGCCUUAACAUAUGUUUACCUCUCAUAAUGAGCAAAAUUUAUAAGACUAACAAUGAGAUUAAUGCAAGUAUCAUGCAGAAAAUUCAAAUUACACAAAAUCCCUUUCAACCAAAUCCAUUCUUUCACAAUUUUCAGAUUUAUGUAGUCAUUUUCCAGUGUAAAGAAGUAGGUAAUAAUGGAUUUCAUGUGAUCUUUGCCACGCACAAAGUCAACAUCCACACAUCCUUUAAGGAUCAACCUAUCAAGCAUUUUCAAUUUACGAACAAUGUCAUUCUUCACCUCAAAGCCUAGUAGUUGACUCUUAUGGAUAUUUUCCCUCAAUUCCCAAUGUAGGAAAGCAGUUUUAACAUCUAGUGGUUCAAAUUCACAAUUGAAUUGAAUCUUACUAUUUUAUAUUCAAUGACAAGGAAAAAUAUCUCAAUAUAGUCAAACCCCUCUUUCAGUUUGUAAAUCCACUUACAUUGUACCGUUCUUUGACCAUUAGGCAAAUUAACCAAACUCCUCUAGCCCUAACCAAUUUGUAAUGCUGGAUAGAAUUCUCUUCAAUUAUUGGGGUGUUAGUUUCUUUUUCAUUUUCACCAUGAGGUACAUCAACCUCAUCAAUUACAGGCUCAUUCUCAUCGGAAUGAGUGAAGUCAUAUUUUGCCAACUUCACCUCAUUCUGAAAUUUCUUGUGAGAUUCAAUUUCCUGAGAAUCAUCAUGUUUUCUGAAUUUUAAACAAGGCAUUUAAGAUUCAUUAAACAUAACAUCUUUGCUGUUAAUGAUCUUAAUAUCAAGUUCCCCUAAAAUCCACAACCUAUAACCUUUAAUCCCCUUAGGAUAGCCUAGCAUAACACGUCUAAUAUCCCUAGGCACCAACUUGCCCUCAGUUUGGCGUGUAUAUGCCAUAUACACAAACACUCUAAUAUGUGCUAAAUUUGGUAGCUUCCCUGUCCAUAGUUCUUGAGGAGUCUUAAACUCGACAUAACUAGAUAGAUAUCUAUUAAUCAAAUAUGCUGCUUUGCAUAAUGCCUCAGCCCAAAACCCUUUAGCAAGUCUUGAACUGACUAACAUGCACCUAGCCUUAUUCAUCAAAGUCUUAUUGAUUCUUUUCGCUACCCCAUCGUGUUGAAGUGUGUACUUAACCGUCCUUUGUCUCAUGAUUCCCUUUUGCUUACAAAAGUUAUCAAAUUCCGCGUUAAAAACUCUAUACCAUUAUCCGUUCUUAGAGUUUUUAACCUUUUAUCCAAUUGAUUUUCCACAAUUUUAAGCCAAGUCCGAAAUUUAUGAAAAGUCUCAAAUUUAGCCUUUAAGGGGAUAAACCCAUACUUUUUUAGAGUAAUCAUCUACUAAGGAUAGAAAGUACUUAUUUCCACCAAAGCUGGGAUGCUCUUCAGGCCCCCACAAAUCUGCAUGGAUAUAAUCCAAAUGUCUUUUCGCUAUAUGUGAACCCACCUCAAAACACACCCUGUGAGACUUUCCCAACAAACAAGUCUCAUAAAAAUAUAAAGGUUUAAUAAGACCUUUAUCAUGUAACUUUUGGUCACUCAAAAUGUUUCAAACAUUUAUUUCCUAUAUGCCCCAUUCUUUUGUGCCACAAUUUAGAUUUUUCAUCAGUAACAAUAAGGUGAUUAGCUUCUUGUGAAGUAAUUGCCUCACCCAUUAGGUAGUACAACCCAUUUUUCUUAGGUCCCAGAUUUGAUUUUACCUCAAUGAUCUUAUAUUUUCAGUCACUCAGUCAAACCAAAAACAUCUAUCAUUCGGCAAAAAUCACACAUCUCAAAUAGUAAAUAAAAUGAAGAAAAUGUAAAGAAUAAUAACACCAAAAAUGGUCACCCAGUUCACCCAAAUAAGGGCUAAUCUGGGGGGCUCACGAUCAGCCCAAUCCACUAUGUAAAACUAGCCUUCCAAAGAGAACAAUGUACAAAGGAACCAAUCUGACUUUCUCUUAAGGUUCUAAUCAUAGAUCACACAAAGAUCUCAAGAACCAGAUACAAGAAUCAACUCUAAACUUGACAAGAACUAACACAGCUAAACUAGUGCACCACGGUCAAAAAUAACAGACCGAAACCUUUCUUUCAAGUCUAUAACACAAGGGUUAUACAAUUCUUUAACCUCUCCAAUAAUCAUAGCGAAACAUAAUAGAAAUUGGAAGAAUUUCAGAGAGACAGAGAGAGAGCCACUUUUUAAAGAUGUACAGAAAGAAUGAGAACUCUCUUGCCACUAAAAACGGGUAGCACAAGAGUCAUAAAAAUCAUGUGUAUUCCUCACAUAUUAUGAUCCAAUGCUUCACAAUGGAGUUGAAGAAGCACAAUCCUCAUUUUAGUCAAAUAACCAAUUGGUGGUUGCCAUGUGGCCCACCAAACCAAUUAAAAAAGACAAAGUAGCACUUCUUUUAAAUAACUCCAGAGUUUCCAAUUCAGUGAAACAUGCCUUUUACACUUUCACAAUCCAUUUCCUAUUCUAAACCAAAAUUUCUCUAUGCAGAAAGAACAAUCAAUUCUGUUACUUUCUUCUACAUAUAAUAAAUAGCGUACAUAGCUUCAGUAUCGUUCAUGGGAAUAACUCAAUCCUCAGACAAGAAUUUGACUCGUAGUUUCGGUAGCAAUUUUGAUGCAUUCAAAUUUCGUGGCAAACAUUUUUUCACUUAACUUUCCAGCUUCUAGUCCUCGUAUGACAGCUCACUGCAUGUCCACUGCCACGGGUAAUUUUAUUAUCAUUUUUAAUUACGAGGAAAUUACAUGGAUAUAUUGUAGGAAAUUCAGUGUAUGUGGAUAAAACCAGUAGCUUCCGAGCACCGCAAAAACCACUCCGGCGAACUGAACUAGUGCCUGAACUACACAACCACCAAGAGAGAACUCUAUGCAAAUGAAUUUCUAGUGUAUUCUAUAUUGAAAGCUUUUCCUUUUUUUUUUUUUUUUUUUGUGUGUUGAAAUGAGGAAAAUGAGCCACUAUUUAUAGGCUAGGCUACCAUUAAUGGCAAUGACCUUUGGAGUUCCUCAUCUUUUUCCUAUGUGGGACAAAUUCAUUUUUCCCAUCUAAACUCCCUUUUGAGUGGCACACUUUGAGCCUCAAUUUCUCAUUCACCCGAGCAUCAACUUUGGCAAGUAAGUAUAUGAUUUCGAUGUACUCACGGAGGAGAACACAAAUCAACUUUCAUCUUCCAAAUUGAACAACUGGGUUCCACUCAAAACUCGUGCCAAAGUCGGCCAAUUUUUCCAAUAGAUAUCACUUUUAGUGAGAAAAAGAUACAAUUUUCUGUUCCAAAGUGUUCAUUUUACAAGAAUAUUGAACCAUCCAGGCAUUCUGAACAAGUUGUUAAUUUUCUAGGAGAGACUUGAAAAUUUUCAAGAACAUUUUCCAACUUAAUUUAUGAAUAUUUGGAAUAAAAUGGUAAAUCUUAGUGAUUCUGUUAAUCUUUUCCAGCUAUGUUAAAUGACAUUGUUGCUCAAUUUCGAGUAUAUACAGUACUGUAUUACAAGAACUUUGUUGGAUGAUUUUUGUGAAUAGUGAUGCCGAAAUAAGUAUAAUGAUGGUGACAAAGCCGAGGCAAGAGUUGGACUCUUUGUCCUUAAGUCGAAUUUGCCCCGCAACGGUGUCUACGGAUUUCGGCAAUCGACUCCCAAGAUACAACGGCUACACUUGUGUUUGUAGCACUCCAAAACACAAGUACAACGAACCAAAUUUAGGCUUAUGUACUCUAAGGAUGAAAUGAAAGAAAAUCAAAAUAAAUGAAAUGAUUUUGAUUUUGGACAGAAGAGAGGAUGAGAGACGUUUUGCAUAUCAGAUUGUGUGGAAUAGGACACCCAAAGGGUCCUAUUUAUUGACCAUGAAAGCGGCGAAUUGGCAAACAAUUUUGCUUAAACGGAUUGAGUCGAGCUUUUGAGUAUUUGGCCGAAGUCGAUACGAACUUUAAUCGAUUUUUCAAUUCUCGAUUUAUUUAACCAAUAUCCAACAAACUUAUCAUACAGCAACAUUCGUGUGGCCCUGUUUGCACUUGGUUUCGUCACUGUAUAUCAUCAACUCAUGGAUAGGUACCCAAGUGAUGAAGAUCGAGCCACUAUUCUUAAAGCUUACAUCGAACCUUUGAAUGAGGAUCCUGAUCAAUAUAGGCAUGUAUCCUCCAUUUUCCAUUUUCCCAUAUUUUGUCUCUGAAUGUAAGUGAAUUUUGAAGCAUUUGUUAUUGGAUUCAGGGGAAAAGGAAAAUAAAAUAAAAUAAAGGUUCCCGGUGAGUCAGUGCUGAAAAUAAUGAACAUGACAAGUAUUUUGGAAGUGCAGGGACAAAAUGUUCUUCUCCAGAGGGGAAAACAAAAAUUGACAGGCUCUCAUGUGCAUUUUGAUAGGGAUGUACCAAGCCACUAACUUGUAAUCAGUUGAUUGAGAAUCUCAUUAUUCUAUCUGUCAUAUCAUUUAUUUGCAGGAGAACAAAAACUACCAACGUGUAUUUUUUACUGGUUCAAGUUGUAUCAGUUAUGGUCUUUUUGUGGAUGCGCGUAUUAAGGGUUCGAGUACUACAUUUCAGGCUGAUGCACAAAAAAUGGAAGAAUGGGCUCGUGCACAAAAUGCCAGUACCAUAGUUGAUUUUGCAUCCAGGGAAGGAGAGAUUGAUGGCAUUUUGAAGGACAUUGCAGAAAGAACUUAGACCAAGGGAAGUUUCAGCUAUAGUCGGCUCUUUGCAUUCGAUCUCUUUCGCCUGCUCGAGCCAGCAAAUGCAACCAAGCCUAAUAUUUUUAGGGAAGGUAAAGGUUUGGCAGUUUUAUUAGAAUUUCCAUAUUCUAAAGCCUGAUAUGGAGAAUAUAUUGUUUUCAGGUUUUGUUUUGAUUCUAUCUUUGAAAAGAAUGUUAAAAUAGCCAUUCUAUUAGUCAGGUGUUUGAUGAGUCUCUCCCUUUGCUUAUCACAAAUCACUAUACAUUUGUUAGAUUAUUGAUUAUAAGAUAUGGUUAAUGAUUAUUUUCUAGAUUAUAAAUAUUUUAUUUUCACUUUUCCUUUCAUCUGUCAUGGAUUAUGAGUAUUUUGUUACUGCUGAAUACAUGUUCUCACUGGCUUAUUUCUUUCUUCGUGUGACUGCUUUGUGUUUCACUACAUGUAGUAAGAAAAGCGUUGAUCGUGAUCUUGAUUGGUUCAAGCAAAAGAGCUGUUAAAAGAAUAUGUUGACAGGUUAUAAUUUCCUCCUAAGUCCAUAAUCACUUAAAAUGUUCCAUAUAACAAUUCAGAGAAUCCUUUCAAUGUUAGGGAGAAAAAGAAAAGGGAAGAAACGGGUAGAAUCUCAGAAUGCAAAAGAAACCAUUACAUGAUACUCUGGACAAUACCAAUACGCUGGGCAGUAAUGCAAAAUUUAUCCGUUACCAAUUAGUAAAUAUCCUCGGAGGAACAAACUAGUAAGCCAAUCAUAGCUUUACCAUAGAUGACAAAUAUUAGAAUUUGGUUGUGAUCCGAAUUCUUUGUUAAAUAUAAUUGAGAGUUCUAACUAAAUCACACAUUAGGGAAAAUGCUAUUUGGAAUACUAUUAUGAAAUCCUGUUCAAAUUUACUAGGCAAAUUCUGAUUGAAGUUCUCUUUGGAAGUUCAUUGGGAGUAGGAAUUUGUGUUGGACUUGAAGAGGAUAUUGGGACGAAGAAAAUCAAGAUUUUGGAGUAAAGGACCCAAAAGUGGGCGUCGUGGCACCAAUGUUGCGACGUCACAGCACCAGGCCUGUGGUGCCGUAGCACCACUAGUCUGUUUCGGCUCUUGCACAAUUUUUCCUCCUCUACUCCACUUUGCACUUUGUUUCUUACAUUCUACUUCAACUACAACUUUACUAUGAGGGUUUGGACAUCCUCUAUAUAUAGUUAGCUCUUCAUUAUGAUUUAGAAAGGAUUUAAAAACACGUAAAUAUAUAAUCUUUGAAUUCGUUUUCCAUAUUAUAAUAAAAUCUUCAUUCUCUGCAAAAUUUCAUUGUUCUUGUGAUCAAUUACUUCAUAUUAUGGCUUAAUCUCUUAUUUUUCCCAACAAAGUGCAUUGGAUUAAUCCCGUAUCAUUUUUGUUCCUUGUAUCUUUUAUGUUCAUUGUUUUGCUCAUCAACUGCAAUUAGCUUUUGUAGCUGUGGCAAAGAAGAAUAUAUUGAUUACUAUUUUCUUUCGUGUGGUUGCUAAUGUGGUAAAUAAGGUUGGAGCAUCUUCUAAAUGUUGUGAUCUUCUUCGAGAGAAAUUCAUUAUUGAGGCAUUGGAGAACGGUGAUAUUUUUUAGUGGACAGGAACUUAAUCAAGAAACCACUCUUCAGCGCGCAGGUGAUACGCAAUGGGGAUCCCAUUAUAAUUUUAUGGUCAGCUUGAUUAACAUGUUUGCGGCUGUUAUUGAUGUACUUGAAAUAAUUGUUGAAGAUGGAUCUAGUACUCGUGACAAAAAAAGUGAGUCGUUCAAUUUAUUUGAGUUAAUAGAAUCGUUUGAUUUUGCAUUUAAUCUACAUUUAAUAAGAAGUGUUUUGGGAAUUUCAAAGGCAUUGCGAAACAAAGAUCAAGACAUUGUCCACGCAAUGGACAUGGUGAAAGUUUACAAAAAACAACUACAACUUAUGAGAGAUGAUGGAUGGAAUUCUUUCUUGCAACAAGUUGUCUCUUUUUGUAAGAAUCAUUGUAUUGAUGUUCCAAACAUGGAUGCUAUGUGUAACACUCCAAAUUUUUAUAAAUGUUGGGAGUGUUACGGAAAACUCAAUUUUCUCUUUUAUAAUUGUGGAACAUCUCAAAUAAAAGGAAUUCUUUAUUUUCAACCAUACAUAUCAAUUUAAAUGCAAGAUCUGAGUUUCUAAAAAUUUAAAUAUAAUCAAUGGACUAAUUAAACAAAUGAGUCUUUGAAUAAAUAAACUAAUAAUUAAUUGAGAGACAUAAAAAAAAAAAAAAAAACUUCGAUUCACUUGGCUGUCCGCAUCACCAUCUCGCCACCAUUUCCAAUUGACCCAAACUAACCUGUAAAAAUUUGUAAGAGCGAAUAUUAAAAUAAACAGUAAGAUUCAUACAGUUUCCAUACCAAUUAUAUAACAAAUAAAAUCUAUACUUCAUAUCACUAUGCUUUUAUGGAGUAUAUCGGCGAUCAAGCAACACACCCAUCUUAAGUCAUUUUAUAACCGCAUAGAAUUUCAUCUAUCUCUUUUUAAAGAACCCAAAGGUUUACAGACAAUCCAUGCAUAUUUAAUUGAAUAUAAAAUUAUAAGGAAACGAAAACACUUGCGCAAAAGUAUCUUACCUUGCUAAAUAAAAUAAAGUAUAAUUGCUUGUGUUCAAAUUGUUUUCUCAACUUAUCUGCUUCGGUGUAAGUGUAUUGAUUGACAAUAAUGCAUGCAAACUUUUAGAUUUCCAACACUAUUCUCUCUCCCUCUCUCUACCAUAAGUGAAUAUUUGGAUUUGUGUAUGUAAAACUCUUCCAUCACACCUAUACAUAGGUGUAGGCUACAGUAAUUGAUAAACCAAAAAAAUUUAUUUGAUAGAGUCAAAUCCAAGGUGGUGUGUAUCAUAAAAUAAAUAUUGUACUUUAUCAUUGUUUUAUUCAAUCUAGAAGAACUACCAUCCCUUUCCAAUAUCGAUAUACUUCAUCUCUUUUUAUCAAAAUCUAAUUAUUUGACUCUAGAUAAGAUAGGAAUUUAAAAUAUAUAUCAUUUGUCCAUUUUUCUUUUUUAAGUAUAACGAUAAAUUUAUAUAUAUAUAUAUAUAUAUAUAUAUAUAUAUAUUUCGUGUGUUACAAUCUCCCUCCUUAAAAGAAUUUCGUCCUCGAAAUUACCUGAGUUCGGGUAUUUUGUUGUCCGUUCCUGAGCUAAAACAAAAACUCAGGCAUUUUCCUUCUUUUCUUGCUCAUCAUUCUUCUUCAAGGGGUCUUCUUUGCAAUUUUUUGAAAUGUGACAUGUUUUGCCACAUCGAUAGCACACAUAUUUCCUAAACAGACAUUCACCACCAUGCAUCCUAUUGCACUUUAGACAGGGUGAGCGGACUCGUUCAAAGCUUGAUCUAAAGUUGACUUUCUUAUUCUGUCAUUUUCCUUUUUCUUCGUUGGACCCAUUCCAUUUCCUCUUUCCUAAAGGCUUGGCCCCUUACUAAGGAGAUUGAUCAAUCUCCAACCUAUUUGAGAUUGCUUGGGCAGUAUGCAAUACAAGGCUAUAGGUGGUGAAUUGGUGGGAUGUCAUUAUUCCAUCAAUCUCAGGGCGUAAUCCUAACUCAAACCUCCUUGCUUUCUUUGUUUCUAUGUCCACUAGGUGUAGCACGUACCUAGAGAGUUGUUCAAACUUUCUCUCAUAACCUUCAAGCUUCAUCUUUCCCUAUUUAAAUUGAAAGAAUUAUGUCUCUUUUCGAUCUCUCAGAGCUUGUGGGAAGUAUUUAGCCAUCACCUCGCCUUAAAUUGUGUACAAGUCAGAGCAAGUUGUUGUGCCUCCGUUCUGGUGCGCGAUGCUGGCUCCCACCAGUGGCUUGCAUCAUCGACUAACAUGAAUACUGCGUAUAAUACCUUUGGAGUAUCAGUGUAAGAUAGAUGUUUGAAGAUUCACUCCAUUCCUCAGCCAUCAGUGGGUGUGCCUUGCCAUCGAAGGUUGGAGGUUUAUAGCGACGAAACUACUCCACAAUUGAGCUGGCAUUGUUAAUGUUUACGUUUUGGGAACCAGCUUGAGCUUGUUGUCUACCCUGAUCUUGUACAGCCUUCGAGAAAUCUCUAAUGACUGUAACUUGGUUUUGUUGUUGUCUUGCCAUUUUCUUAACACGAAUAAAAUUUUAUAUAAUUUAGAAAUAUUUGAUAACACAAAAUAAACAUAAUAAUAAUAAUUUUUAUAAUGGCGAAAAACUUAAAAAUUUCCAAAUCUUUACAUAUAGUAUUUUAUUUAAAAAAUAAUACCAAAUAAGACAAAAAAAAUAAACUGUUCCUAAGUAAGCAAAUAACAUCUAUUUCUAAUUUUUAUGAGUCCUAAGAAUCUUAUUUUGGUGGAGUCUCAUCGUCUGAAGUAAUCAUGACUUUGGCUCAGAAUCUGUGACCAAAUCAAUGAAAUUUUAUGGUUCGAAUUCUUGCUCAAGUUCUUCUGGCUCUAGUUCAAUUUCCUCUUCUGGGUCAUCGUCAAGCUCUUCCUCUGGGUUCUCAUCAGGCUCUUCCUCUAGCUCUGGUUCAGGCUCGGGCUCGGGCUCGGGCUCGGGCUCGGGCUUGAGCUCUGGCUCUGGCACUACUUUUGUUGUCUGUGAUUCCUUAGGAUUAUGAUAUUUUGACAAUAUCCUUUAAAAUCGAUCAUAUCCCAUUCUUUUUGUGAAUACAUCCCAUAAUUCAAAUCUCUCAUGACGUAAGCCACGUCUCUCCAUUGGGGUCGCAUAGUACUUAUGAAAUGGUAUAUCGAGACGAUUGUCCCCUCAUUAUAUCCGAAUGAUUUUGCUUGCUCCCACUUAGAAAGGAAAUCCUCAACAUGUUCGUAAAAGUCCGCUCCCAUUUUACUUCAUAAUUUACGUACUUUUCGGUAGCAAUUUGAUCACGCUGUAGGGAUGUUGGGCUAUUUCCAAUCAUCCUAGUUAUUUUUCAAAUCCUAAUCAUGUGACCAACAUAAUUUUAAUUAUGCUAAACAAUAUUCAAAAAUUCUUAUACAGUUUAGAUCUUUUUGACAAAGCCUUUCAAUUUUGCAAUUACGCAAAUCAACAAAACUCAAACAACAAGUCAAACAUGAAAUCUCUUAAAAUGUAAAUUUUCAAAUUGGUGCAUGUUUAAAACAUCACCACUGGCUAAAGUUAAACACAUAAAAAUUUAUCAAAUGUGAAACUUAAAUUAUGGACAUUAAACCAUAACAAUUUAUAUUUUAAACUACUAUUUUUCAAAAUCAAUUUAAACAAACAAUUAUUCUUCAAAAUAAAAGAAACGAUUUUUUUUUUUAAAAAACAUCUUUUCUUUUUGUCAUUGUUCACGUGAAUUUUUUUUGAAAAAACAAAAGUCUACAGGAAAGUAAAAUCAUGCUCUGAUACCAUACUGUAACGCUCCAAAUUUUUAUAAAUGUUGGAGUAUUACGAAAAACUUAAUUUUCUCUUUUAUAAUUGUCGAACGUCUCAAAUAGAAGGAAUUCUUUAUUUUCAAAUAUAAAUAUCAAUUUAAACGCAAGAUCUGAGAGUUUCUAAAAAUUUAAGAAUUUUGCUCAUGUAAGAGGGAGGCGGCAGGAGCCCCACAAAUGGGCUAGGGUCCGCAAAAAAAGCAUGGGACCUCCCCCUAUUUGUGGGGUUCGGUCAUGGGGGCGAUUAGCCCCUCUGUUGCUAUAACAUGGCCUAAAAUUUAAACACAAUCAGUGGACUAAUUAAACAAAUGAGUUUUUGAAUAAAUAAAACUAAUAAUUAAAUUUAGAGACAUAAAAAAAUAAACUAAAUGUUUAAUUUCUUUUUUCUUUCUUAGAUUCACUUGACAGUUCACAUCACCAUCCCGCCACCAUUCCCUUUCGACUUGAACUAACCUAUAAAAAUUUGUAAGAAUGAGCAUUCGAAAAACAACCAGUAAGAUACAUGUAAUUUUCAUGCAUAAUUAUAUAACAAAUAAAAUCUACACUUCAUACCACUCUGCUUUUAUGGAAUAUAUUGGUGACCAAGCGAUACACCUAUUUUAAGUCAUCUUACAACCUCGUAGGAUUUCAUCUAUCUCUUUUUAAAGAACCCGAAGGUCCAUAGGCAAUCCAUGCAUAUUUAAUUGAAUAUAAUAUUAUAAGGAAACGAAAACACUUGCACAAAAGUAUCUUAUCUUGCUAUAUAAAAUAAAAUAUAAUUGCUUGUGCCCAAAUUCUUUUCUCAACCUCUCUGCUUCGGUGAAAGUGUAUUGAUUGACAAUAAUGUAUACAAACUUUUAGAUUUCCAACACUACUCUCUCUCUCUACCGUAAGUGAAUAUUUGGAUUUGUGUAUGUAAAACCCUUCCAUCAUGCCUAUAUAUAGGUGUAGGCUAGAGCAAUUGAUAAACCAAAAAGAAUUAUUUGAUAGAGUCAAAUCCAAGGUGGCGUGUAUCAUAAAACAAAUAUUUUACUUUAUCAUUAUUUUAUUCAAUCUAAAAGAACUACUAUCCCUAUCCAAAAUCGAUAUACUUCAUCUCUUUUCAUCAAAAUCUAAUUAGAAAAAAUUUGUGUAUUACACUAUGUUUAUGCAUUAUGCAUAUGGUGGUCGCUCUCAUCGUAAUUCUCCUCAAAUGACCAACUUGCAUCACUUUUGGGUAGAUUUAUUCUAUGCUAUCAUCGAUAUGCAACUUCAAGAAUUGAAUGAUCAUUCUUUGGAGUUAAAUACUGAGUUGCUUCAUUUUGUAGUUUGUCUAUGUUCACAAAAUUCAUUCUCGGCUUUUGACAAAAGAAAGUUAAUUCAACUUGCUAAGUCUUAUCCACUAGAUUUUUGAACAAUGAAUCUCUUCACGCUGGUGGAUCAACUUGAUAAAUACAUUUUUGACAUUCCCUCUAACAAAGAGUUUGAAGAAUUGACUGACCUUAGCAUUCGCGCAUAGAAAUUAGUUUUAACAAAUAAGAGUAGAGUAUAUCCACUGGUUUAUAAGCUUUUGACUUUGGCACUAAUUCUUUCGAUCGCCACGACUACGGUGGAGAGUAUAUUUUCUGCCAUGAACAUUGUGAAGAUAGAUUACGAAAUCGGAUUGGAGAUGAGUGGAUGAAUGAUAGUCUCGUUGUUUAUGUGAAGAAAGAUAUAUUCUUAAAGAAUGAUAAUGAAGUGAUUUUACAAAGAUAUCAAAGUAUGAAAACUUGUAAUGAACAAUUGUUAGGUAUUCUAGUUUUAGUAUAAAGUUCGAGUUAUAAUGUUGUUAUUUUUGGUAUCUUUUUUAAUAUUGCACGCACCGAAAAAAACUUCUUAGGUUUGUCCUUGGCUACGUCCUUAUGAAACUCGAAUCUGAUUCAAUGUGCCUAGGUAUAAGAAGAUGAAAAUAAGAAUCAAAAUCACACAUGCUUUCUCCUGAUUUUACAAGGCUCUUGCCUAAAUGAGACCGGCUUACAUUGUUAUUGUACAGAAAUCGUUCUCAAUACUAGCUUGUAAGAGGAAGGUGUGAAAAAUAUUAUUUCGUGAAAUUCAUAUUAUAUAAUUAUUUAAAUUUUAAUUUAAUCACUCUCAAACAUGUUCAGCGGAAACUCAAAUAUUUUUGAAGGAAUAAUAUGCUUUACUAUUAUCGAAGCACUUGGGUCACGAGGCACAAGUCAAAUAAAAAGUUGAAACAAAUUAAGAAAAAUUUCACAGCAAGACCAAGAAAUUAAAGAAUGAAGAGAAUAAAGACAACAUCAGAAACUGCCAAAUUCCCAGACAGCCUUCUGUUUUCACUUUCGUCUCUCUUCAGUUUCCUUGAAUUUCUUACCUUACAUUUGGUUGUACUCCACCCUAUCCCUGACCCCCUCACCAGAGCUGAUCCUGUGUUUGAUGGGCCCUGAGGCGAAUGAUGAAAAUUAAGCCUCCUAGCGACAAAAUUCAAAGGUGUAUUAAGGAUGUUGUUUUGUUGUUGGAUAAUUAGUCUUGGACCGGAUCACCUUAUUUUAGGCUUGCUCACCUUGUUAAUUAAAAAAAAAAAAUCCAGAGGGGGCCAAAAUUAGGCCCCUAAUGGUCUUGGCCCUGAGGCAGAGGCCUAGGCCUGCCCCUCACUACUCUACUACAAGUCAGGUAAAUAAUUUAUUUAUUUUAAGUACUAAAAAUACUUAGUUUAUCAUUAAGUCUUAUUUUGUCGAUAAAUAAGUAGCUUAAUUAGUUUGAGCUUCAAUCAUAAAGGAAAGUAUUUAUUGCCUUUAAAUAUAGGUAGAUCUUGUUUAGUAAAUUUUUUGAAGAUUUUUGACUAAUCAAACUUAUUUUUGAAUAAUUUACACAAAUUUUAUAACAAUUUAUAAUCCUAGUCAAAUAUGGGCUAAACUUACCAUAAGUGCACUUUUCAAAUUGCUCUUGUUUGACUCUCUUUAAAAUUUUAAUAUAUUUUUCUCUAUAUCUUCUUUACAAUUAUACAUUUUUCAAUAAAAUAAUAUUAUAUGUAAAUAAAAAAAAAUUCUACUUUUUUAACCACACAUGCUCCCAAAAAAAUACUAUUCCAUGAUACAUUUUUCCAAAACUUCUCUUUAUAAUGGAGCUCAAACAAGAGGUUAGUAAACAUCCCAUUAAGAACCCAUAAUUCAAUAAUGUAUUGUAUUAUGUUAGUCAAAUAGGGGCAGGUGAUAUGGUUUAGGGACGGAGACUGCGUGCUAGUAGCUGAUUGAUGCUUUUUUUUAUUUUUUUUCAAACUGUCCAAUCGAUGUUUGACAUGUGUACUCCUGUUAAAAAAAACCUUACCCUAUUUGUGUAUCAUAUUUCUUCAAUAAUUACCCCAAGAUAAAUAUAUUUGGUCAAUGAGGACCCUCAAGCAUCAAAAUUGAGAUAGAUCCCUCAAACACCUUUCUCGUGCGCCCCUAUCCAUCCUAACCACUCCACUCCACUCCACUCUGCACCAAUGUCACAAUACAAGCACAUUUCUAUUUUUUUCAGGGGUAAAUUUGAUAAGAGUUCCUCCUAACCUCAUGCGGAGUUUCGAUUGAGUCACUCAACUUUAAAAAAAAAAAAAAAAGAUCAAUUAAGUAACUAAAUUUAAUAUUAUUAUAAAUCAAUUCACCAUGUUUAGAUGUUAACGUAAUCAACGGAAUCUGACCGUGUAGAUGUCAAUAUUAAAAAGAAUGCCACGUGAGGCUUAGGACAUUCACAAGUUUAUAUAGCUCGUGUUUGAUAGUCAUCUUUAGCAAGAAUGAGUUUUAAAUAGUAAAUUUUUAGAGAACAUGUGGUUAAAAAUAAAAAUAAAAAUUGAAUUUAUAUAAAGAAUAUUGUAUUAUGAGAAUAUGUGGUUAAAAAUGAGUAUUAAAAAAAGGUUUUAAAAGAAUGGUUGUUAAACAGGGGCAUAAUAUAGUUGCAUGCCCAACUUGUUGAACAUCAUCCUACCUGGCAUUCCAUAUCCUUAAAACGUCGAAUAAUUCAAUCAUAUUGGUUCUUAGCAUCAUUCUACUUUGGAUGUCUUAAAUAUGAAUCGUAUAUAUUCGUUUAAAAUGUCCAAUCAUUUAAGGAUACUUAAUGAACACCUAGAUUGGUAUUAUACACAAGUGAAGGCGUUUGCAUAAUUUUAUAAGUCUACACGAGCAAACUCUGUUAAGCAAAGCAAACUUUCUUAAAGCAAGGAAAACUCUAUAAUUACUUUCAACGACAUCAAAAGUAGUUACUUAGUUUGAAAAUAUUAAAGUUUUGUGACUUGAUUGAGACUUUUAAAAGUUGGGUAACCUCCAAUAAUUUAUUCCGUUUUGGCAUCUUCUUUCAAAGUAAUACGACUUUCUUUUGGCUUUCCUUAAUUAUUGAAAAUCCACCAUCCUUCAUUAGCUUCCACAUUAAUUAGGACGGAAGAAACAAAAAGUCCUCCAUAAACCCGAAAAGAGUCUGUUUGAAUGAAAUUCCAAUGAGAAAAGUUUCAAUUUUUUUCACACAGUUCAUGCUCCUACUUAUCAUCAUUUCAUUAUUAAACAUUAAUGGCUUGCUUUCAGUACCGGCGGAACCAAAACCGGGUGAUUAUCUCAAUAAUUCGACUACAGUCCCUGCUUUCCCGGUCCAGACGGAAACUCAGACAUGCCGGCUGGACUUGUCAGCCGAACUGUUUGGCGGCUUAAAAGCAGCCUGCGGCCACAAGCUGGACCGGAGCAGGUGCUGCCCCGUGCUGGCUGCGUGGCUCUUCGCUGCGCACGCCAGGUCGGCUCUACAGUUGACACACACCCCUCCGUCGACGAUUACCAGCGACAUGCCAAUGAUUCCUGACGACUCAGAGAAGUGCGUGGACUCGCUGCAGGACUCCUUGCAGAGCCGCAACAUCCAUAUUCCCCAGCCCAAUGCAUCUUGCGACGCCGUCUUGUGCUUCUGUGGCAUCCGGCUCCACCAGCUCACCUCCCUCGACUGUCCGGCGGCGUUUAAUAUUACUGGGAAUCACAUAAAUGCUACUCCCACUGCGGCUGUGAGGAAUUUGGAGCACAAUUGUCGGAAUUCAUCAAACGCCGGUUGUUCAAAAUGCCUUGGCUUUCUGCAAAAGGUCAGUCCUGCGAUUUCAAUUCUCCAGUUUUUAUUUGAUAACGUUUUAAGCCGAUUUCGUUGAAGUUGAAACAAAUUUUAUUACUAUCUACAAGUUUUUAUUUUAUUUUAAAAUAUGCUUCAAUUACAAUCAAGUAAUUUUUAUUAGUAUUAAAAUUGUAUUUAUUAUUAACAAGGGCCAAUGGAAACAUAGAAAUUUGUUUCUCUCGAUUUAUGAAAAGUCUAAUUGACCCCUGUUCAAUUAUUAUAUUGCAGUUGAAAGUCGAGGGCGAAAGUGGAAGAAAAGAAGUUGAGCACAAAAAUGAUGACCGAGCAAGCAAGAUGCUGAGCCGAGACUGCCAGCUCAUGGGAUUGGCUUGGCUACUAGCCAGGAAUAAGACGGCAUAUAUACCCACGGUCUCCGCUGUAUUACGAGCCAUCUUGUAUAGCGCGAACCCCUCAGAGGAGUCGAGGUGCAGUCUCGAUCAGGAAAAUAUGCCAUUGGCUGUCGAUUCCCUACAGUUGGAAAAAUACGAUUCCUCGUCCUCAUCCUCGUCAUUGUGGCUUUCGCAAUUUCUUCCAUUUUUUAUUCUUAUUCUGCCCUUAAUAUUCUUGGUUAUCUUCGUUUAGGGGAAUAAUUUGUUUAAGAAUUUUGGAUUUGUUUGUUGUUCAUGUCAUGUGGCUCCCCGGCUCUUUUGUGCCUGUGAUUUUUUUAUGUAGGGGUAUCACGUGAAGCUAAUCGACGAAUGGGGAAUAAGGUUAUAUUUUGUCUUUCUAACAGUAAAUUUCACUUUUGAGACACGGUAAAUCCCAUAGGACAAAUUUCUAGGGUAUAUUAUUGUGGAACUCCAACCUAUCGUAAGUGUUGUAUAUCACAGUUCAAUUUUAUCUAACAAAAAAUGUUUAUUUCAACACUUAAUGCCACAUGAUGUUGAUGAAUGUUUCAUGAACACCGGAAAAUUUUACCGUAUUCGAAUUCUGAACGAAAGUUAAAGUCAUCAUUUACGGGGUAUUCUUAAUUAAAAUUUUAAUGAAUUUUAAAGAAUUAUAAAUUCUAAUGAAUUUUGUGGAUUUGAAUAGAUUUUUACAAAUUCCAUAAAAAUCUCACCAAAUAUGGUAUAUUUCAAAAUAUUUGCUUGUAUAUUUUUUAAGCUUGAAAUCCAUUCAAAUCUUUUAAAAUCCUUCUAUUAAUGAAAAUUUUAUAAAUCCGCUAAUUAUUGAGGAUGCCUAACUUUUAAAGGAUUUUAUUAAAAUUUCAAUUAAAGACAUCAAAAUUUAGAAUGACUUUUAAAAUCCAUGACAGUCUUAAUUGAGGACCCCCUAAUUAAUUUUGAACAACUUUAUACCAUUUACUCCAAUUUUACAUUUUAUUAUUAAAUAGAAGCUAUAUGAUUUGUUUUCUAAUAAAUUUUUUUUUCUUUUAAUUUUUUUCCCUCUCCAUGUGACUAACUAUAAUAAGGUGUUCUAGUGGGUCUUGUGGAAAUGAUGACCUCAAUAUUAUACUGAAAAAAGAAAUUUACUAAUCAAACAGGGGCAUGUGACAAGCUCCACUGGGCCUUUGAUAUGAAAUUAAAUUUCAAAUCCACCUCAGCCCUGUGGCUUGGGACAAGCCCUUGUUUAUGUAGCAUGUCUCAUGAAAAAAAUUAAUGUUCAGCCUGUAUUGUGCAUAACGAUGAAAUAAUAAUAAUAUUAGUAGUAGUAGUAGUAGUAGAAGGAAAAAGAGUAACUUUUUGGAAUCAUCAAAACUUGAGGAAAAUGUAACUCGAGUAUGUUGGUCGUAGGAAUUAAAAUCAUCGGUUUUAGUGUUAUUCUUUUCAGACGACAUAUGGCUAGGUUUAAAACCACUAAUUAUGUAAUAAUUAAAGUUCAUCAAUUUUCACGACUAAACAAUUUAAAGGUUUACACUUUUUUUUUAGCAUAGAAUCACGACUUUACGUUUGUCUUUCACUCUCGUCACCUCCCGCUUCUACUUAUGUUUCAAUUAUUAAAACAAUACCUCAAUUUGAAAGUUCAUUAGUAUUUUUAUUAUUUCCUGCAAUUUUAGAUUACUUGCUCUGUUUUUACUGUAAUUAAUAAAAUUAUUUUAAUAUGCAAUAUUUUGGCUAACAAUAUACCCCAAAAUAAGCAUACACCUCACAUUGCUACCUUGGUUGUGACCAAAACAAAUUCCACUCCUUCAGAUUCUCCAACCACUCAAGUUGCUUAAUUUGCCCGAAAACAUCCAUUAUUAAUCGAGAUAUAAUCGAAGGAUUGCCUAACGAAAUGGAAUGAAUAAAAUGGGUGAAAGGGCCUCUCGGAGCAUAGCCCAAUGGUAAAAGGACAUGAGUGAUGUUAUCUCAGGCCUUGCUGGUAGCUGUAGUGUGGGGGUUUGAUUCGUGAGACAUGGAAUUGGACUCUUCGUAGGUGCAGUGUACAGGCAGCUCUUGUUCUCUGGCCUAUUGAGGCACAUCCCGUGAUUUACCUCCCUUACAAAGCUCUAGGGACGGGGCAGUGGGGGCUCUCAAGGUUGGGGUUCAACCUUUUUUUUUUUUUUAAAUAAAAUGGGUGGAAGUAAUUUUGCCCAUGCGUGAAUAUGGGCCUUUUUGUCAUGAGUACGCAUGGCUUGUUUAUGCAAAAACUGAGGCUAAAAAUGCUUCUACCAUGCGUACGCAUGGAUUAUAUUAUGCGUACUCAUAGGGUUAAAAACUAGUCGUGAGGAACAGGGAUAUCCUCAGGAGGGGGUUGGUUUGGAACGGAUGAGCUUGCUGGUGGAAGACCUGAACGUGUGUUUACCAUGACUUUUGGUAGCGCCUUCCCACAGACGGCGCCAAUGAUGCUACCAAAAAUCGUACCUGCUGAUUUUCCGAGCUUGAUGAUUGGUGAGGAGCACGAACGUGAUCUUCCGAUACCUGAAACAAAGGCAACGAGGUGUGUUCUCGUCGCCCCUCCGAUGCUUAAGUCAGAAAGGGAAAUAUAUGCGUGAGGCUAUGUGCUGAAGAACAAUGUAAAACGUACCUGAAUAAUGGUUCAAAGUUCUGUAUUUAUAGUAGUAAGUGACAUUCUCCUAAUUGGGCUCAACUAGCUGGAUGUCCUCAUCUGUUGGAGUCCUGCUGGUUAAGGAGUUGGUUGAAUUCCAGAAUUAUGCGUGAGAUAGGACUCUUGUGGGAGUUAAGAUUCCUAAUUGCGUAGGAAUUCUAAAGGAUGAACAAUCGUCAGCAGUAAGGAGGAGCAUAUUCCCGAGGACCAUGCCCGAGGACACAUCUUUGCAAUAUGCGAAGCGUGAUGGAGAUGUGGUCGGGCCUUGUGUCUCGAGGACGAACAUGCUCGAGGACACCAUGGAUGGAUUUACAACUUUACCAAAAUUAGUCAUCGGGAUAUACUGAUCGGGGAUAUCGUAAAAUGUCACCAUCAC